CCUACGGGUGACAGCAGUCGAGAAUCAUUCACAAUGGGGGAAACCCUGAUGGUGCGACGCCGCGUGGGGGAAUGAAGGUCUUCGUAUUGUAAACCCCUGUCAUGUGGGAGCAAAUUAAAAAGAUAGUACCACAAGAGGAAGAGACGGCUAACUCUGUGCCAGCAGCCGCGGUAAUACAGAGGUCUCAAGCGUUGUUCGGAAUCACUGGGCGUAAAGCGUGCGUAGGCUGUUUCGUAAGUCGUGUGUGAAAGGCGGGGGCUCAACCCGCGGACGGCACAUGAUACUGCGAGACUAGAGUAAUGGAGGGGGAACCGGAAUUCUCGGUGUAGAAGUGAAAUGCGUAGAUAUCGAGAGGAACACUCGUGGCGAAGGCGGGUUCCUGGACAUUAACUGACGCUGAGGCACGAAGGCCAGGGGAGCGAAAGGGAUUAGAUACCCUUGUAGUC
Molecule: ribosomal RNA, 446 nt
Filed under: uncultured bacterium
Lineage: Bacteria
Description: partial 16S ribosomal RNA
Rfam family: Bacterial small subunit ribosomal RNA
Source: RNAcentral